GACGGAAGGUGCAAGCGUUGCUCGGAAUCACUGGGCGUAAAGGGUGCGUAGGCGGCCGUGCAAGUCUGGCGUGAAAGCCCCGGGCUCAGCCCGGGAAGUGCGCUCGAAACUGCGCGGCUCGAGUGCCGGAGGGGAGAGUGGAAUUCCUGGUGUAGCGGUGAAAUGCGUAGAUAUCAGGAGGAACACCGGUGGCGAAGGCGGGUCUCUGGGCCGAUAUUGACGCUGAGGAGCGAAAGCGUGGGGAGCGAACAGG
This 253-nucleotide ribosomal RNA is filed under the name uncultured bacterium. Its description in RNAcentral is "partial 16S ribosomal RNA". It matches the Rfam family "Bacterial small subunit ribosomal RNA", at positions 524 to 776 of the family's 1533-position model. The record is from RNAcentral.